CAGGCCCUGCCUUGAUUUUCAUGCAAGAAAGGCCAGCAUUUCCGUUUCCCCAGAUGCCAGCAGGCCAGGAGCUCCUCUGUACCCCUCCCUCUUCCUCCAGGUCUUGUCUCUUCUCAGAUGGGAACAGAUGCUGAAACACGCACACACACAUGCAUGCACAUGCACACACUCCCUCCAUGUCCUCCCCCAGAUCUUAUCUGCUCUGACCCUCUGGCCACCGCACAUGGAGAGAAGGUGUUCCACCUUUGGGCGUGGAGGGCAGGCACGAAGAAGACGUUUUCCUCUUCCCUCCUUACCAAGAGCAGUCUCUCAGCAACCCCGACAUAAUCCAAGUGCUUUGAGGGGAAAAGCAGCUCCUAUAGCUUUCUGGUCCCUCAUGGUGCCUUGGACAAGACGCGGCUACAUAAACAGCAUUGCCUUCAACUCCAUGCUGACUUGCACCUGUUGACUGGUUCUGUCCCUUUUGGCUCUUCUGGUGAGGCAGGAGGACACAGUUCUACUCACAGGACUCUAACAAGGAGAAGAGUUUAAAGUGGCUUUUCCACCUGGAAGCAAUACUGCUUGAAUCGCGCACCCUUUCUCCAGCACUCACCAGGCCCCUUUCUCCCCUGCGCUCUUCAGCAUCCUUCCCAUGGAGCCAUGCCUGGCUGCGGUGGUCCCACUGGAGUGGCAGCUCUGGGAGGAGUCCGGGUCCUGGCAGGAGGUUGGCUCACUUAUAUAAAAAUGAACAUCUACCCAUCAGAAGCAUGGUUCAAGACCCUCUGCAUGCAGCCUGAAAGAUAGACUUCGGGGACGGCUCUGUGGUCAAGGGCAAACAUCAAAUGUAUUUUUUAUUGACUGUUUAAGGACAAAAACAAUGUGAGUGUAUAUACACAUUCAAUCCUCAUUAUUCACCAAUUCCGUAUGUAUGAAUUUGUCUACUCACUAAAAUUUGUUUGUAACCCACAAAUCAAUACACAUGGUGCUUUUGUAGUCAUUUGUAGACGUGGGCAGAGUGGCAAAAAAAUCUGAGUCGCCCAAUGGGCACACUCACAGCUGAGGUCAAACGAGGUGACGCUGGUUUCAGCUCUCACACUGUAAGCACUGUCCUCUUCCCCAUCUAUUUAGUGCCACGUUUUUUGCAUUUUUGUGUUUUUUGUUGGUGAUUUUGUUGUUUCAAAUGGCCCCCAAGCGUAGUGUUGAAAAGCUGUCUAGUGUUCUUAAGCCAAAGAAGGCUG
Molecule: long non-coding RNA, 1217 nt
Filed under: Equus caballus (horse)
Lineage: Eukaryota; Metazoa; Chordata; Mammalia; Perissodactyla; Equidae
Description: lncRNA (ENSECAG00000035340.2)
Source: RNAcentral